GGUUUCAUAGUACAAUAGUUAGUAUUUUAGAUUUAAAAUCUAAUCUAUUGGUCUAGGUUCAAAUUUUAGUGGAGUAC
RNAcentral lists this transfer RNA (77 nucleotides) under Musa acuminata subsp. malaccensis (wild Malaysian banana). It matches the Rfam family "tRNA". From Rfam's summary of the family: Transfer RNA (tRNA) molecules are approximately 80 nucleotides in length. Their secondary structure includes four short double-helical elements and three loops (D, anti-codon, and T loops). Lineage: Eukaryota; Viridiplantae; Streptophyta; Magnoliopsida; Zingiberales; Musaceae. The record is from Rfam by way of RNAcentral.